AGCGAACGCUGGCGGCAGGCCUAACACAUGCAAGUCGAACGAACCUUUCGGGGUUAGUGGCGGACGUGUGAGUAACACGUGGGAACGUGCCUUUAGGUUCGGAAUAACUCAGGGAAACUUGUGCUAAUACCGAAUGUGCCCUUCGGGGGAAAGAUUUAUCGCCUUUAGAGCGGCCCGCGUCUGAUUAGCUAGUUGGUUGAGGUAAUGGCUCACCAAGGCGACGAUCAGUAGCUGGUCUGAGAGGAUGAUCAGCCACAUUGGGACUGAGACACGGCCCAAAAUCCUACGGGAGGCAGCAGUGGGGAAUCUUGCGCAAGGGGCGAAAGCCUGACGCAGCCAUGCCGCGUGAAUGAUGAAGGUCUUAGGAUUGUAAAAUUCUUUCACCGGGGACGAUAAUGACGGUACCCGGAGAAGAAGCCCCGGCUAACUUCGUG
RNAcentral lists this ribosomal RNA (434 nucleotides) under uncultured bacterium. Its description in RNAcentral is "partial 16S ribosomal RNA". It matches the Rfam family "Bacterial small subunit ribosomal RNA", at positions 29 to 507 of the family's 1533-position model. The record is from RNAcentral.